Molecule: ribosomal RNA, 399 nt
Filed under: uncultured bacterium
Lineage: Bacteria
Description: bacterial SSU rRNA
Rfam family: Bacterial small subunit ribosomal RNA
Source: RNAcentral
GGGGAAUAUUGGACAAUGGGCGCAAGCCUGAUCCAGCCAUGCCGCGUGGAUGAUGAAGGCCCUAGGGUUGUAAAGUCCUUUCGGCGGGGAAGAUAAUGACGGUACCCGCAGAAGAAGCCCCGGCUAACUUCGUGCCAGCAGCCGCGGUAAUACGGAGGGGGCUAGCGUUGUUCGGAAUUACUGGGCGUAAAGCGCACGUAGGCGGCUUUGUAAGUUAGAGGUGAAAGCCCGGAGCUCAACUCCGGAACUGCCUUUAAGACUGCAUCGCUCGAACGUCGGAGAGGUAAGUGGAAUUCCGAGUGUAGAGGUGAAAUUCGUAGAUAUUCGGAAGAACACCAGUGGCGAAGGCGACUUACUGGACGACUGUUGACGCUGAGGUGCGAAAGCGUGGGGAGCAAA